ACACACGCUGGUCUAAAUCGCGA
This 23-nucleotide non-coding RNA is filed under the name Arabidopsis thaliana (thale cress). The record is from RNAcentral. Lineage: Eukaryota; Viridiplantae; Streptophyta; Magnoliopsida; Brassicales; Brassicaceae.